Molecule: ribosomal RNA, 346 nt
Filed under: uncultured Rhodoferax sp.
Lineage: Bacteria; Pseudomonadati; Pseudomonadota; Betaproteobacteria; Burkholderiales; Comamonadaceae
Description: bacterial SSU rRNA
Rfam family: Bacterial small subunit ribosomal RNA
Source: RNAcentral
ACAGGUGCUGCAUGGCUGUCGUCAGCUCGUGUCGUGAGAUGUUGGGUUAAGUCCCGCAACGAGCGCAACCCUUGUCAUUAGUUGCUACAUUCAGUUGGGUACUCUAAUGAGACUGCCGGUGACAAGCCGGAGGAAGGUGGGGAUGACGUCAAGUCCUCAUGGCCCUUAUAGGUGGGGCUACACACGUCAUACAAUGGCUGGUACAAAGGGUUGCCAACCCGCGAGGGGGAGCCAAUCCCAUAAAGCCAGUCGUAGUCCGGAUCGUAGUCUGCAACUCGACUACGUGAAGUCGGAAUCGCUAGUAAUCGUGGAUCAGAAUGUCACGGUGAAUACGUUCCCGGGUCUU